Orcinus orca (killer whale) is the source of this 5606-nucleotide long non-coding RNA. RefSeq lists it as uncharacterized. The transcript is spliced from 2 exons. NCBI's taxonomy places the organism in Eukaryota, Metazoa, Chordata, Mammalia, Artiodactyla, Delphinidae. The record is from RefSeq and is a predicted model, not a curated record.
AGUGAGAGGCAGGGCCUCGCCCUCAGGCUCCCCAGGGCCCUGGCCUGCUGUGCUGGUCAGGGCUGCACGCCUGGUCUCUGGGGGUGAGCACCCCGUUGCUUCUGCCCCCCUGCACUCUGGUGUGUCUCUUGGGGACACAGUCCUCCUCUCCCUCCUUCUCCUUCCCCUCUUCCUCCGCUCCUUGAAUUCAUUUUCCCUCUCGUUUUUUUUCUUAAAGCAUUGCCAUAUUUUUUAAAUAUUUAUUUAUUCAUUUAUUUGGUUGCGCUGGGUGUUAGUUACGGCAGGCAGGUUCCUUAAUUGCAGCUUGCGGGCUCCUUAGUUGUGGCACGAGAACUACUAGUUGCGGCAUGAAAGUGGGAUCUAGUUCCCUGAUCAGGGAUAGAACGCGGGCCCCCUGCAUUGGGAGCGUGGAGUCUUAUCCACUGUGCCAACGGGGACGUCCCUCCCUCUGCUUUUAUAACAUACUUCUUGGGCAUUAUCUCUGGUCACUCUCCCUUCCCUCUUUAGACGCCAGCCACACUGGCCUUUUUUCUCCGUUAACUUAUUACUGAAGUAUAACAGGUGCUACCCAAUCUGGGGUCCACAGACUGGUGACAUCUACAAGCCUGCUCGCCGCAGGUCUGCAAAAAUCAGGAGCUUGUAAAUCAGCUGUGACUCUGAGCACACUGGUUUCCUAGCAAGACCCCAGUGGAAACAGCAGCGCAUUGAUUUUUAUUCUGGUCAGAUUCCUGUCUCAUCGCAGGCCGGCAUCUUGAGGAGCACUGAUGCACCGUGCUUGUGGAAAAAUGCAGCACCUCCACCCUGGCUGUGACUUCUGAUUUAACGUCGUGUCUCUGUGCUGUUAUCCAUCAUAUGAUGUGGAGUCUUGUUGCAGUGUUUCUGAUGCCAUGGAAAGAGCACGAGACUAGGGGCCGGCACGUCCGGAUUCCAGUGCUACCUCCGUCUCACACAGUGUGGUGACCGCCAGCAAUUCUCUCUCCAAAUCUGCGCCUGAGCCCCCAUCUAUAACAUGAGGAUCAUUGCCGUUGCCUUUCUUUUGUUACAGGUUGUAGUGAAAAUAAACAAUAGAAUGUGUGUGCUGCUUUCACUAUUCCCGUAACUAGCGCUUCUCCUCCAGCCACUGCAUCCCCCGCCAGGCCCCUUGUGUACAAGUCAUAGAGCUCCGGCCUUCUCCCCAGGCCAUGUCUUUGCAGGCAUAGUUUCACCCUGUGCCUUUUCUCUAUGUUCUGUAAGAACCCCUGUACUUAGUCUUCCCAAUCACUCACUAGGUUUUUUUCCAUUCUGCUUUUCCUUGUUCUUUUCAUUUCCUCCACCAGGCUUUUCAUCUCUAUGAACUCCCUUUGUUCUUCCCCCGCCCCCGCCGUGCAGCAUGUGGGAUCUUAGUUCCCCCACUAGGGAUCGCACCUGGGCCUCAUGCAUCGGAAGCUCCAAGCCUUAACCACUGGACCGCCAGGGAAGUCCCUCCCUUUGUUCUUUAAUUGCUGACUUCUAGCAGACUUGCCACGUUUGCUCACAUUUACUAGAAGUGACCUAAUAGAUGCGGGAGAGCUCCACACAGGCCUCGCCCUCAGGCUUCCAUCCUUAGAGGCUUGUUUACUGAGAUGAGGGGUGAGAUGGAGCCAAAUGCAGGAUCAUCAGGACCACAUCGGAAAGCUGUCUCCCUUCCUUUGCGACAUCUUUGUCUGCUUUUGGUAUCAGGGUGAUGGUGGCCUCGUACAAUGAGUUUGGGAGUGUUCCUCCCUCUGCUAUAUUUUGGAAGAGUUUGAGAAAGGUAGGUGUUAGCUCUUCUCUAAAUGUUUGAUAGAAUUCGCCUGUGAAGCCAUCUGGUCCUGGGCUUUUGUGUGUUGGAAGAUUUUUAAUCACAGUUUCAAUUUCAGUGCUUGUGAUUGGUCUGUUUAUAUUUUCUAUUUCUUCCUUGUUCAGUCUCAGAAGGUUGUGCUUUUCUAAGAAUUUGUCCAUUUCUUCCAGGUUGUCCAUUUUACUGGCAUAGAGUUGCUUGUAGUAAUCUCUCAUGACCCUUUGUAUUUCUGCAGUGUCAGUUGUUACUUCUCCUUUUUCAUUUCUAAUUCUAUUGAUUUGAGUCUUCUCCCUUUUGUUCUUGAUAAGUCUGGCUAAUGGUUUAUCAAUUUUGUUUAUCUUCUCAAAGAACCAGCUUUUAGUUUUAUUGACCUUUGCUCUUAUUUGCUUCAUUUCUUUUUCAUUUAUUUCUGAUCUGAUCUUUAUGAUUUCUUUCCUUCUGCUAACUUUCGGGGGUUUUUGCCAAUAUCACUGAUGAACAUAGAUGCAAAAAUCCUCAACAAAAUACUAGCAAACAGAAUCCAACAGCACAUUAAAAGGAUCAUACACCAUGAUCAAGUGGGGUUUAUCCCAGGAAUGCAAGGAUUCUUCAAUAUGUGCAAAUCAAUCAAUGUGAUACACCAUAUUAACAAAUUGAAGGAGAAACACCAUAUGAUCAUCUAAAUAGAUGCAGAGAAAGCUUUCAAAAAAAUUCAACACCCAUUUAGGAUAAAAACCCUCCAGAAAGUAGGCAUAGAGGGAACUUGCCUCAACAUAAUAAAGGCCAUUUAUGACAAACCCACAGCCAACAUCAUCCACAAUGGUGAAAAACUGAAACCAUUUCCACUAAGAUCAGGAACAAGACAAGGUUGCCCACUCUCACCACUAUUAUUCAACAUAGUUUUGGAAGUUUUAGCCACAGCAAUAAGAGAAGAAAAAGAAAUAAAGGAAUCCAACUCGGAAAAGAAGAAGUAAAGCUGUCACUGUUUGCAGAUGACAUGUUACUAUACAUAGAGAAUCCUAAAGAUGCUACCAGAAAACUACUAGAUCUAAUCAAUUAAUUUGGUAAAGUAGCAGGGUACAAAACUGAUGAACAGAAAUCUCUGGCAUUCCUAUACACUAAUGAUGAAAAAUCUGAAAGUGAAAUUAAGAAAACACUCCCGUUUACCACUGCAACAAAAAGAAGAAAAUACGUAGGAAUAAACCUACCUAAGGAGACAAAAGACCCAUAUGCAGAAAAUGAUAAGACACUGAUGAAAGAAAUUAAAGAUGAUACAAAUAGAUGGAGAGAUAUACCAUGUUCUUGGAUUGGAAGAAUCAACAUUGUGAAAAUGACUCUACUACCCAAAGCAAUCUACAGAUUCACUGCAAUCCCUAUCAAACUACCGCUGGCAUUUUUCACAGAACUAGAACAAAAAAUCUCACACUUUGUAUGGAAACACAAAAGACCCUGAAUAGCCAAAACAAUCUUGAGAAAUAAAAACGGAGCUGGAGGAAUCAGACUCCCUGACUUCAGACUAUACUACAAAGCUACAGUAAUCAAGACAGUAUGGUACUGGCACAAAAACAGAAAUAUAGAUCAAUGGUACAGGAUAGAAAGCCCAGAUAUAAACCCACACACAUAUGGUCACCUUAUCUUUGAUAAAGGAGGCAAGAAUAUACAGUGGAGAAAAGACAGCCUCUUCAAUAAGUGGUGCUAAGAAAACUGGACAGCUUCCUGUAAAAGAAUGAAACUAGAACACUCCCUAACACCAUACACAAAAAUAAACUCAAAAUGGAUUAAAGACCUAAAUGUAAGGCCAGACACCAUCAAAGUCUUAGAGGAAACAUAGGCAGAACACUCCAUGACAUAAAUCACAGCAAGAUCCUUUUUGACCCACCUCCUAGAGAAAUGGAAAUAAAAACAAAAAUAAACAAAUGGGACCUAAUGAAACUUAAAAGCUUUUGCACAGCAAAGGAAACCAUAAACAAGAUGAAAAGACAACCCUCAGAAUGGGAGAAAAUGUUUGCAAAUGAAACAAAUGACAAAGGAUUAAUCUCCAAAAUUUACAAGCAGCUCAUGCAGCUCAAUAUCAAAAAAAUAAACAACACAAUCCAAUAAUGGGCUGAAGACCUAAAUAGACAUUUCUCCAAAGAAGAUAUACAGAUUGCCAACAAACACAUGAAAGGAUGCUCAACAUCACUAAUCAUUAGAAAAAUGCAAAUCAAAACUACAAUGAGAUAUAAUCUCACACCAGUCAGAAUGGCCAUCAUCAAAAAAUCUACAAACAAUAAAUGUGGAGAAAAGGGAACCCUUUUGCACUUUUGGUGGGAAUGUAGAUUGAUACAGCCACUAUGGAGAACAGUAUGGAGGUUCCUUAAGAAACUAAGAGUAGGGGCUUCCCUGGUGGUGCAGUGGUUGAGAGUCCGCCUGCCAAUGCAGGGGACACGGGUUCGUGCCCCGGUCCAGGAAGAUCCCACAUGCCACAGAGCAGCUGGCCCCGUGAUCCAUGGCCGCAGAGCCUGCACAUCCGGAGCCUGUGCUCUGCAACGGGAGAGGCCACAACAGUGAGAGGCCCGAGUACCGCAAAGAAAACAAAACAAACAAACAAAAAAACCUAACGGUAGAACUACCAUACAACCCAGCAAUCCCACUACUGGCCAUAUACCCUGAGAAAACCAUCAUUCAAAAAGAGUCAUGUACCACAAUGUUCAUUGCAGCUCUAUUUACAAUAGCCAGGACAUGGAAACAACCUAAGUGUCCAUCAUCAGAUGAAUGGAUAAAGGAGAUGUGGCACAUAUAUAAAUGGAAUAUUAGCCAUAAAAAGAAACAAAAUUGAGCUAUUUGUAGUGAGGUGGAUGGACCUAGAGUCUGUCAUACAGAGUGAAGUAAGUCAGAAGAGAAAAACAAAUACCAUAUGCUAACACAUGUAUAUGGAAUCUAAGAAAAAAAAAUGGUCAUGAAGAACCUAUGGGCAAGAUGGGGAUAAAGAUGCAGACCUACUAGAGAAUGGACUUGAGGAUAUGGGGAGGGGAAAGGGUAAGCUGGGACAAAGUGAGAGAGUGGCAUGGACAUAUAUAAACUACCAAACAUAAAAUAGAUAGCUAGUGGGAAGCAGCUGCAUAGCACAGGGAGAUCAGCUCGGUGCUUUGUGACCACCUAGAGGGGUGGGAUAGGGAGGGUGGGAGGGAGGGAGACGCAAGAGCGAAGAGAUAUGGGAACAUAUGUAUAUGUAUAACUGAUUCACUUUGUUAUAAAGCAGAAACUAACACACCAUUGUAAAGCAAUUAUACUCCAAUAAAGAUGUUUAAAAAAAAAAUCCAAAAAAAAAGAAGCAGCUCCUGUGGUCUGUCUCUAAUGAAUUCACCCACAACGAGGCUGCGGGGAGGGGAAGCAGGAAUUGCUGAUGUUUGUGUUAACCCUUUUACAAUUCCUUCUCCUGAAUCAGAACCCCAGAUCCCUACUCAGGGGCUGUGAGUUGCCAAAUCCCUCCAUAGGCAAUGUGCAAACUAGUCUAGAGCUCUCCAGGGUUUUCUUUUACUCAUAGAGGAAGAAGCAGGGGAACGAUCAAACGAUGAAGACUUACACUAUCCCUUCAGUGAUAACUGCCUCACUCACCCCCAUCUUGGUUGGAAUCAGGCAAUAAAAUCAUAGACAGAGAAAUUUUCUCCAGCUACGUGAAUGCAAAGAAAUAUUUUGGGUAGGCAACUCCCAUCAGCACAGAGGGAUAAACAGGAUGCUUAUGGAAUAAAGGACCUUUAGGUGAUAGUCAAUGAAUUUGUGAAUUUAAACACAUUCACUGAAGAAGCACAGUAUGUUUUAUUAAAUUAUUUUAUUUGAUGUAGUGUUG